GAUGAACGCUGGCGGCGUGCUUAACACAUGCAAGUCGAACGGAAAGGCCCAAGCUUGCUUGGGUGCUCGAGUGGCGAACGGGUGAGUAACACGUGGGUGAUCUGCCCUGCACUUCGGGAUAAGCCUGGGAAACUGGGUCUAAUACCGGAUAGGACCACAUUUUGGAUGGUGUGGUGGAAAGUUUUUCGGUGUGGGAUGAGCUCGCGGCCUAUCAGCUUGUUGGUGGGGUAAUGGCCUACCAAGGCGUCGACGGGUAGCCGGCCUGAGAGGGUGUACGGCCACAUUGGGACUGAGAUACGGCCCAGACUCCUACGGGAGGCAGCAGUGGGGAAUAUUGCACAAUGGGCGCCAGCCUGAUGCAGCGACGCCGCGUGGGGGAUGACGGCCUUCGGGUUGUAAACUCCUUUCGCUAGGGACGAAGCGUUAUGUGACGGUACCUGGAGAAGAAGCACCGGCUAACUACGUG
This 466-nucleotide ribosomal RNA is filed under the name uncultured bacterium. RNAcentral's name for it is "partial 16S ribosomal RNA". It matches the Rfam family "Bacterial small subunit ribosomal RNA", at positions 28 to 507 of the family's 1533-position model. The record is from RNAcentral.